GAUGAAGAACGUAGCGAAAUGCGAUAAGUAAUGUGAAUUGCAGAAUUCAGUGAAUCAUCGAAUCUUUGAACGCACAUUGCGCCCCUUGGUAUUCCGGGGGGCAUGCCUGUUCGAGCGUCAUUAUCACCCCUCAAGCUCAGCUUGGUGUUGGGGCCUGCCCGUCACAGGGCAGCCCUUAAAAGCAGUGGCGGUGCCAUCUGGCUCUACGCGUAGUAAUACUUCUCGCGACAGAGUCCCGGUGGUGUCCUGCCAGAACCCCCCAUAUUUUUAAUGAUUGACCUCGGAUCAGGUAGGGAUACCCGCUGAACUUAAGCAUACAAUAAGCGGAGGA
RNAcentral lists this unclassified non-coding RNA (331 nucleotides) under soil metagenome. RNAcentral's name for it is "partial contains 5.8S ribosomal RNA, internal transcribed spacer 2, and large subunit ribosomal RNA". The stretch from base 1 to 120 matches the Rfam family "5.8S ribosomal RNA", at positions 35 to 154 of the family's 154-position model. The record is from RNAcentral.